CUGUCCAUCAGACCAGUUACUAUGAUCAAACCACAGUUUAACCCAGCCUGAGAAAUACUAGUCUUAUAAGGGGAAAAAGAGAGACUGUAUGUAUUCUAACAGAAGGAAAGAACUAGGAAGAGGUUUGGUGGAACUGGUCUCUAAGAUUAGACAAUUUGUGGCCAGAAUGUAAGAGAGCUAGAGGUUUCUAGGAGGAGCUCCAGGAGAAGGGCAAGUCAGGAAAGAGUAAGGGUGGGCUCUCCAGAAAUGGGGCAUGGAGGACUUUGAUAAACAGUACUAGUAGCCUUGUUCUGUUACGAAGCAGGAGUUGCUAUGGUUUGAAUGUAUUUAUAUUCUCCAUAAUUCACAUGCUGGAAACUUAAUUCUCAAUGCAUCAAUAUUGCAAGGUAGGACAUAGUAGGAGGUGCUUAGAUCAUGAGAGUCCUGCCCACACAAGUGGAUUAAUGUCACUAUACAAAGGACUUGUGGAUGUGGCUUCAUUCUUAUCAGUGCUUAUGCCAUAUGAGGAAUGGUUUUUACCACCCCUCUCCCACCCCUGAGAAUAAGUAUUCAAGUCACCAUCCUGGCAGUGGAGACAAGGCCCUUAACAGACAACAAAAAUAUGCCAGCAUGUUGAUUUUGGACUUUGCAACCUCUAUAACAGUGAGAAAUAAACUUCUGUUUUUUAUAAAUUACCCAGUCAAGUCUCAGACAUUCUGUCAUAAUAGCACAAAUAGAAUAUAACAGGAAUCAUGAAAUAUUU
Molecule: long non-coding RNA, 742 nt
Filed under: Marmota monax (woodchuck)
Lineage: Eukaryota; Metazoa; Chordata; Mammalia; Rodentia; Sciuridae
Source: RNAcentral